GAUGAACGCUGGCGGCGUGCCUAAUACAUGCAAGUCGAGCGAACGGACGAGAAGCUUGCUUCUCUGAUGUUAGCGGCGGACGGGUGAGUAACACGUGGAUAACCUACCUAUAAGACUGGGAUAACUUCGGGAAACUGGAGCUAAUACCGGAUAAUAUUUUGAACCGCAUGGUUCAAAAGUGAAAGACGGUCUUGCUGUCACUUAUAGAUGGAUCCGCGCUGCAUUAGCUAGUUGGUAAGGUAACGGCUUACCAAGGCAACGAUGCAUAGCCGACCUGAGAGGGUGAUCGGCCACACUGGAACUGAGACACGGUCCAGACUCCUACGGGAGGCAGCAGUAGGGAAUCUUCCGCAAUGGGCGAAAGCCUGACGGAGCAACGCCGCGUGAGUGAUGAAGGUCUUCGGAUCGUAAAACUCUGUUAUUAGGGAAGAACAUAUGUGUAAGUAACUGUGCACAUCUUGACGGUACCUAACCAGAAAGCCACGGCUAACUACGUG
Molecule: ribosomal RNA, 497 nt
Filed under: uncultured bacterium
Lineage: Bacteria
Description: partial 16S ribosomal RNA
Rfam family: Bacterial small subunit ribosomal RNA
Source: RNAcentral